Ictalurus furcatus (blue catfish) is the source of this 669-nucleotide long non-coding RNA. RefSeq lists it as uncharacterized. Lineage: Eukaryota; Metazoa; Chordata; Actinopteri; Siluriformes; Ictaluridae. The record is from RefSeq and is a predicted model, not a curated record. The transcript is spliced from 3 exons.
GUGUGUGUGUGAGAGUGAGAGAAUAUGUGUGUGUGUGUGUGUGUGUGAGAGAGAGAGAGAGAGAGAGAGAGAGAGAGAGAUCGUAGCAAAAGUAAAAAAGAAUAAGAGGAGGGCUGGAGACAGAACCGUAUAGACCAGGAAGCACUUGCUGUUGUUUUACUUAUUGUAGAGGUUUAGAACAUAGACUUUGUAUUUCAUUACUAACAUAUGAUAAAAUAAAUGAUAAAUAUAUGAGGAAUUCCAUUACUAACAAUUUAAUGUCUCAAAACAAGCUGAAAAUAGUUCGCUUUUUAACUAUUCUCUUAACAAAGCUGGACAUUUUAAAACAUCACAAAAGUCACAAGACUUGAUGUAGUCCCUCCUUUGCUGUUAUAAUAACCUCCACUCCUCUGUGAAGGAUUCCCACUAGAUUUUGGAGCAUGGCUGUGUAGAUUUGUGCUCAUUCAACUACAAGAGCAAUAGUGAGGUCAGGCACUGAUGUCAGUUGAGGAGGCCUGGGGUGCAGUUGGUGUUCCAGUUCAUCCCAAAGGUGUUCAGUGGUGUUGAGCUUUUCUGGACAACAAGAAAACCAGAGGACGCCCGUGGAAAAGUUUCACCCUGAAGUCCGUAUUGACACACAGGCGGUUUGCCCUUUAUUGUGCAGAGCGAAAGACCGACCUUACUACUGAC